UUUUUUUUUUUUUUAAAUUUUUUUUUUUCCUCCAGGACUUGUGUGUUUUGUUCUGCGCACACACCGCCAACUGUUCCCCCACAGUCAGCAGCAGGUUGGGCCUGACCAUUGGGACUUGAUUGUCAAGUCACUGGAGGUCUUGACUUUUUUAUCUCAGUUCAUGUUCUCUUCCAUAAUUGGAAAGGACCUUUGUCUGUUUUUCCUCUUGGGUGCCUUCCAGAACGCAUCUCAUGUCCCUGGUGAGGGAAUUGGUGAGGGCCUGCUGUGAGCUGCUGUGGCUGCGAUGGUCACCCAGCUGGGCAAAUCACUGGAGUGACAAUUUGACCUGUCACCUGAGAAGGAUGGUCCCUCAGACUGCUGGGUAGAGGGCCUGGGGCAGGCUGGAGAGAGAAAGUGGGCAGAGGGUGAAGGGAUCACAGGGGUCUUGGAAGGUGGCAGUAGUUUGGACGGGGGUGGGGAGUAUGUGGGAGAAAAAAACAGACUGAAGGUAGAAUCCUUGGGAACCUUUGAGGAGCGGCACAUUCUGGCAGGCACCUGUAGUCCCAGCUACUCGGAGGCUGAGGCAGGAGAAUGGCAUGAACCCGGGAGGCGGAGCUUGCAGUGAGCUGAGAUCACGCCACUGCACCCCAGCCUGGGCUACAGAGCAAGACUCCGUCUC
RNAcentral lists this long non-coding RNA (658 nucleotides) under Homo sapiens (human). RNAcentral's name for it is "HSALNT0155585". The record is from RNAcentral. Lineage: Eukaryota; Metazoa; Chordata; Mammalia; Primates; Hominidae.